This 486-nucleotide ribosomal RNA is filed under the name uncultured bacterium. RNAcentral describes it as "partial 16S ribosomal RNA". It matches the Rfam family "Bacterial small subunit ribosomal RNA", at positions 30 to 507 of the family's 1533-position model. The record is from RNAcentral.
AUUGAACGCUGGCGGCAUGCCUAACACAUGCAAGUCGAACGGCAGCACGGGGCUUGGCACUGGAUUGCGAGUGGCGAACGGGUGAGUAGCACAUGAGAACGCGUCCUGGUGGGGGGGAAAGCCCGGCGAAAGCCGGUUUUAUACCACACGCGAUGUGCGGGUGAGAGGGGGGUCUUUGGACCCCUCGCUCUCUGGUGUUGGCCGAUGGCUGAUUAGCUAGUUGGUGGGGUAAAGGCCUACCAAGGCGACGAUCAGUAGCUGGUCUGAGAGGAUGAUCAGCCACACUGGAACUGAGACACGGUCCAGACUCCUACGGGAGGCAGCAGUGGGGAAUUUUGGACAAUGGGCGAAAGCCUGAUCCAGCAAUGCCGCGUGUGUGAAGAAGGCCUUCGGGUUGUAAAGCACUUUAGUCCGGGAAGAAAUGCUUGGACCUAAUACGGUGCGGGGUUGACGGUACCGGCAGAAUAAGCACCGGCUAACUACGUG